GAAGCCCAGCGCUGAAUCUCUCGGUCUUAGGCCGCUGAGAACUGUAGCGUAUAGGUGUGACUGUCCUGCUAUAUUGCAUUUCCGAAGUCUCUUUGAUAGGGGCCAACAUCCAGAGAGGGUGCGAGACCUGUACGGAAAGUAGUAUAGUUGGUAUGGUUACUCCUUGGAGUCGGGUUGCUUGAAAGUGCAGCCUAAAGUUGGUGAUAAACUUCAUCUAAGGCUAAAUAUCGACGCGAAAUCGAUAGCAAACAAGUACCGUGAGGGAAAGUUGCAAAGAACUUUGAAGAGAGAGUUCAAGAGAACGUGAAAUCGCUGAAGUGGAACCGGAGAGAGUUAACAUAACUUGGUAGCUAUAUCCUCUAAAGUCGCUUAACUGUGGCUCUGGGGGGUGGACGCUACCUGUUGUUGCACUGACUGCGUUGAUUGUGCUUUCCGAACAGUAUAGUGUUGCCCACUUUGUGGUGUCUUGCUUUCUGGGAGGUUUGUCAUAAUUAACGUAAAGCCAAUUCCCUUUGGAGUCAGUGUGAAAGUUAACCACCUUUCCGACCCGUCUUGAAACACGGACCGAGGAGUGUAAUUUAUACGCGAGUCAAGGGGUGGUGAAAACCCUAGGGGCGGAAUGAAAGUAAAGGCCGGUUAACCGGUUGACAUGGGAUCCGCUCUUCGGAGCGGCGCACCAUGGCCCUGUCUUGUCUGCUUGCAGAUGGGCAGCGGUAGAGCGUAUAGUUUGCGACCCGAAAGAUGGUGAACUAUGCUUGAGCAGGACGAAGCCAGAGGAAACUCUGGUGGAAGUCCGUAUCGGUUCUGACGUGCAAAUCGAUCGAUAGAC
This 829-nucleotide ribosomal RNA is filed under the name Heterorhabditis bacteriophora. RNAcentral describes it as "eukaryotic LSU rRNA". It matches the Rfam family "Eukaryotic large subunit ribosomal RNA", at positions 104 to 910 of the family's 3401-position model. The record is from RNAcentral. Lineage: Eukaryota; Metazoa; Nematoda; Chromadorea; Rhabditida; Heterorhabditidae.